GGACCGGAUGUCCUGAAAUGUGUGGACAUGACGUUCAACAAAUAGGACGUCGAAAGUCUACCUCUUCAGAAAGAUCGCCAGAACGAUCAGGCCAAUAACAACGGCUACGCCGAUCGCCCAGGUCGAGAGCCGGAUGUCACUCUUCAGCUCGCGCUUGGCUUCGUUCUCGGCGAUCUUUAAAUUGCGUUUUCGGUCGUCCUGCUCCGGAUCACUCACGGCUUCUCCUG
This 227-nucleotide unclassified non-coding RNA is filed under the name Hevea brasiliensis (rubber tree). The record is from RNAcentral. Lineage: Eukaryota; Viridiplantae; Streptophyta; Magnoliopsida; Malpighiales; Euphorbiaceae.